RNA transcript from Odontomachus brunneus, 8828 nucleotides. It is a transcript of the gene named rho-associated protein kinase 2, with no coding region annotated. Lineage: Eukaryota; Metazoa; Arthropoda; Insecta; Hymenoptera; Formicidae. The transcript is spliced from 13 exons. The record is from RefSeq and is a predicted model, not a curated record.
GGCAACGCUUGCUCUUCGCCCACCGACGAUUCUCUAUGACACUAUGUGCUCUGUGCCCGUCGCCCUCCUAUCCGCCCCUUCGCCGCCGGCGGCAACGCGCGACAGUCGCGGAGUCUACUCCGGCUGAUUUCAGACCGAACACGUCCACCGCGACGAUCGAUAAUCUCGCGCGGUGGCUCGAAGCCGCGGAAGUGCCGUGUUCCCGUCGUAGCGUCCGUCGGCCGCGGAUUUAACUGGCCGCGUACGUCGCCGUGAGCGAGAUGCGACGUCGCCGCGAGUGAGUGAGUGAGUGAGUGAGUGAGUGAGUGAGUGAGUGAGUGAGUGAGUGAGCAAGCAAGCGAGUGAGCGAGCGAGCGCGAGGUGAGGGAUCGCCGAUUGGAUUUCUGUCGCGCAAACACGGCGCGCGUUACCGGAGGACUGAGAACGCGAAAGAGAAAGAGAGAGAGAGAGAGAAAGACGGAGCGCGAGCGAGCGAGAGAGUACGAGAUAGGAAGGGCGAGAUACAACAGGAGCAAGAGAGAGAGGAAGAGAGGCGGAUUCUCGCGGCGACUUUCAGAGCCUCGCGGACGACCGUUGUGAAUUCCCCCAAUGGCGCACGCACGGCUCAGCUGUGUGCGCCUUGUACGCCCCACGUAGUAAUGCGCCUGCCAGGAUCGUCGUCCGGGUGACCACGCCAGUGCCGGGGCGUAGAGGUGAGCGUAGGAAACAUGGAGCAUCCAUUGAGUGUCGCAGUCACACAUUGCUCGAGUCAAUGUUACAUUUAGCCCUGCGUUUGGAUAGUAUUUAAUGCAACAGAAGUAGUAUAUUGUCGUGGCACAGUAGCCCCAACUCUUAUCAGGAGAGAUGGAUGCGGUGCGGGAUGAGGAUAGGUGGAGACGCCUGCGGUGUCUGGAGGAGCGCAUAAAAGAUCCAAGAAGUGUCACGAAUAUCGAUUGCUUACUAGACACGGUUCAAGCCUUGGUAUUGGAUUGCGAUCACACAAGUGUGAAACGCAUGAAAAACAUAGAAGCUUAUAUGAAUAGAUAUGACUCCGUAGCUCAAGAGAUAUAUAAAAUGCGAAUGCGCACGGACGAUUUUACUCUGAUAAAAGUAAUCGGCCGUGGAGCAUUCGGUGAAGUGCAGUUGGUUAGACACAAAUCUACACAAAAAGUUUACGCUAUGAAACUGCUUAGUAAAUUCGAAAUGAUUAAAAGAUCGGAUUCCGCAUUUUUUUGGGAAGAGAGGGACAUAAUGGCGCACGCCAAUUCUCAGUGGAUAGUACAGCUCCAUUUUGCGUUCCAAGAUCAAAAGUAUCUCUACAUGGUAAUGGAUUACAUGCCGGGUGGAGAUCUCGUGAACCUGAUGUCCAACUAUGACGUGCCAGAAAAAUGGGCAAAAUUUUACUGCGCCGAGGUGGUACUCGCAUUGGAUGCGAUACAUCUGAUGGGUUUCGUUCACAGGGAUGUAAAACCGGAUAACAUGCUGCUCGACAAACACGGUCACUUAAAACUCGCCGAUUUCGGCACGUGUAUGAGGAUGGAUGUUGACGGCUUGGUUCGGUCCGAUACCGCGGUCGGUACACCCGACUACAUAUCCCCGGAAGUUUUACAGUCGCAAGGCGGUGAGGGAGUGUACGGUCGUGAGUGCGAUUGGUGGUCCGUGGGUGUCUUUCUGUACGAGAUGCUGGUUGGCGAUACACCUUUCUAUGCUGACUCUUUGGUCGGCACAUACUCGAAAAUCAUGGAUCACAGGAACUCGCUGCAUUUCCCUCAGGAGGUCGACAUCUCACACUCGGCGAAAAACUUGAUAUGCGGCUUUCUCACCGACAGAACGAAACGUCUGGGCCGCAACGGUGUGGACGAGAUCAAGAAUCAUCCAUUCUUCAAGAAUGACCAGUGGACCUUUGAGAAUUUGAGAGAAUGCGUGCCACCGGUGGUGCCCGAGCUGUCUGGUGAUGACGACACGAGCAAUUUCGACGACGUUGACAAGGAAGACGGACCGGAGGAGAGCUUUCCAGUGCCCAAAGCGUUUUCUGGGAACCAUUUGCCCUUCAUCGGGUUUACCUACUCGGGUGAUUACCAGUUGAUGGCUUCGUACGGCAAGGAGUCCGUCGAUGGAUUGGAGAACCAUGUUAACAACGGUACUACGGACGACGUAAAAAUCUCGCAACUGGAGAAUCUGUUGGACCGUGAGAGACGGCAAGUGGAGACAAUGGAGUCGCGGCAGAAAGCACUGAACACGCAGUUGGAGGCGAUGACACGUCGAGAAGCCGAGCUACACGAGGAAAUCGGCAGGACGGACAAGGAAUUGACAUUGCUCAGACAUAACUACAAGGAGGCUCAGCGCCGAGUGGAACACGAGACGGAGAACCGCAGGAAAGCGGAAUCACUACUCGUAGAGCUGAAGAAGAAAUUCGACGAGGAGCAGACAAGACGAGCGCGGGAUGCUAGCAACUCACAGCAGACAUCCGAGCGCGUGACGACGUUGGAGAAGCAGCUCAAGGAGAUGCAGUGCAAGCUGGAGAGAGAAACAGAAACAGCCACGCGGUUGCGGAAGCAGACUACGGAAGUAACCGUCGCGCGUCAGGCCGCCGAGCAAAUGGCGAGCGAGCUGCAGGUUGUGAGAGCUCAGCUGCAAGCACAACGCGACAACUUACAACAGGAAGUUGCCGCUCUACAGGGUCAACUUUCCAAGGAACGCAGUUCCAGAUCACAAGCAUCAUCGCUGACGGCUGAAUUGGAGACACGUCUUUCCGCCUUGCAUCUCGAGCUAGAACGCAGUCAUGAAAAAGAAGAGAAGGCUACUCUGGACAACAGACAAUUGAAUGAAAGAGUUUCCGCAUUGGAGAAGGAAGCUACCAGUUUGGCAUUGGAAUUGAAAGCCGCGCAAGCUAGGUACAAUCAAGAAGUUGUGGCACAUCAAGAAACCGAACGGUCCCGUAUACUCUCCAAAGAAGAGGCCAAUCUGGAGGUUGUUAAAGGACAAAAGAAUGGAAUUUUCGAAGUGAAACUGAACGAAGAGAAAAGUGGAAGACAACGCGCGGAAUUACUCGCCCAGGAGAAGGAACGUCAGACGUCGAUGCUCUCCGUCGAUUACAGACAAAUACAGCAACGUUUGCAGAAAUUAGAGGGCGAGCAUAGACAGGAGAUGGAAAAAGUCAAGGUUCUGCAGGGCCAGGUUGAGCAGGAGCAGCAGAAGAGGAACGUUCUGCAAACCGAUCUGGGUCAACAAACGUCCGAGGCGGGAAGACUUCGUGCUCGCGAGCAACAAUUGGUUGGAGAGGUCGCUCAGUUAAGAGAAGCUAAACGACAAAUAGACGAGGAGUUGCAUCACUUGAAAACACAGAGGAAUGUCGAUCAGCUACAGACGAAGGAACUACAGGAGCAAUUGGAAGCCGAAGCUUACUUCUCGACUCUUUACAAGACACAGACACAGGAGUUGCGCGAAGAGCUGGACGAAAAAGUGAGGCUGCAGCAGGAAUUUGAGGAAGAACGUAGCUCCCUGGUUCAUCAGUUGCAACUGUCCCUAGCGCGCGGCGACAGCGAGGCAUUAGCCAGAUCUAUAGCUGAAGAGACUGUGGCGGAUUUGGAGAAGGAAAGGACGAUGAAGGAGUUGGAGUAUAAAGACGGAGUCUCAAAACAUCAUCAAGAGCUGAACGCGAAGGAACAGCUCAUAAACAGGCUCAAGGAGAACGAGAGCGAGUUCAAGAAAUCGGUCGAACAGACCUUGAAGGAAAAGGAAGACCUAAGUAAACGAUUGAAGGAACUGCAGGAACAACUCGGCAAAGCGCAAUCCAACGCGGAGGAGAUCGAGAAGCUCAGCAGCAAACUGAAAAACGAGCAAGUGCUGAAGCAGCAGGCAGUCAACAAAUUGGCUGAGAUCAUGAACCGGAAAGAUCUCUCGUCGAGCGGGAAGAACAAGAACAAGGCGUCCGCCGCGGAUCUAAGGAAGAAGGAGAAAGACUGCAGGCGGCUGCAGCAGGAACUUACUCAAGAAAGGGAAAAGUACGGACAGCUGGCAGCUAAAUGGCAGAAGGAUCUGCAAGAUAUACAGGCGCAACUCGUGGAGGAGAAUCAGGCAAAGCUGAGGUUGCAAAUGGAACUGGACUCAAAGGAUUCAGAGAUAGAAACGCUGCAAAUGAAAAUCGCAUCGCUCAAUUCGGAAACUGCCAGCGUCUCGUCGAUCGAGAACGACGGAGAGGACUCGGUCCUGUCCGAACAUGGUACGAUGAGGCUGGAAGGCUGGUUGAAUGUGCCAAACAAGCAGAACAUUAAGCGACACGGCUGGAAGAAGCAGUACGUCGUAGUCUCCUCCAAGAAGAUAAUUUUUUACAACAGCGAGAACGAUAAGAUGAACGCUGAUCCGGUCCUGAUAUUAGACUUGAAUAAAGUCUUCCACGUUAGAUCUGUUACUCAGGGUGAUGUUAUCCGAGCCAAUGCCAAAGAUAUACCCAGAAUAUUUCAGUUACUCUAUGCCGGUGAGGGUGAGGCGAGACGGCCUGGCGACGAGGGAAAUACACUGCCUGGAGUGGAUUUACCACAGCUCACAGACAAACCCGGUACUCAGUCGCUGAAGGGCCACGAAUUCGUGUCAAUAUCGUAUCACAUGCCGACGACUUGCGAAGUCUGUUCGAAACAACUCUGGCAUAUGUUCCGGCCUUCGCCAGCCCUGGAAUGCCGAAGGUGUCGCAUUAAAGUUCACAAGGAACAUUUGGAUAAGAAGGAAGAUGCCAUAGCCCCAUGCAAAUUGCACUACGAUCCGAACAGCGCUCGCGAGUUGCUGUUACUCGCGGCGAAUCCCGAGGACCAGAAGUACUGGGUCUCGAGGCUGUCCAGACGCGUUCAGAAGUGCGGCUACAAAGCAAACUCGCAUGUGGACGGCACGGGACAGCGAGUCUCGCCAAGGUAGCGUAGCCGUGCUGCUCGACGCGAGCGGGGACUAAGUAGCUCUCUUAUUUUGUGGCGUCGCAUGAUUGGGUGUAGAGAGGGAAUCUACGAGGUCGACCUUGACCAAGCCAUACUUGACGGUGCAACAACGAUCCGCGACGUUACCAGCGAACGCCAGUAUGGGCAAGUGAUCUUGGAAGAUCCUACCGCUGGCCAUUCGAAAUUCUGAUCAUGAUCAGUUGCCUCGUUUGCCCCCGAUAACGGUGAAGUCAGUGAGGACGCUGAGUCGAUCGAUCUCUGCGACCACGACGACCUCACGAUUUUCUCUUCGCGCUAUCCGGCGAUCCAAGUAGACUGUCGAUAAUUUUCUAGAUCGAGGAGAGAGAACAAUCUAAGUAGCGGUUGCGAUCAUCACGAUCGACGUUACUCUUGCAGCUAAAAAUAAAUUCAUGUUUGAGAAUUGCUGGAGAAAACAGGGUUACUACGCGUGUGCUGGAUGAAACGAAUCAGAUAUGAGUACGAAGAGGAGGAGAAGAAGAAGAAGAAAGAGACACACAGAACACCGAGUUCAGGAUCUGGUUGCCCAUCGUAGUCGUUCCCAGGACAAUAACGUGAGUCACGGAGAUGCGCCGUGUUCCUCGGAAUUGUCGGAUUGUUUUGUCGUGUGCGAUGACACGAUGUAAAACUUUCUUUCGUACGGUGUUCGUGAUAUUAUAUAUACAUGUAUUCGCGCGGCAGACUGUAAGCGUUCUUUCGGAAAAAGGAUUUCUGCAGUGAUUUCUGGAUUGGGACUGUAUUUAACUUUAUACGCACAUUUCUUACUGCCUUCGAUUAACGCGAUUAACGAAAUCGUGAUGGGAACUAUUUUUUAGCGUAAGGCGAAAGUCGCGUUUUUUUGAUGCUUUAAGCCGAAAUUUCAGAAGCUUACGAAGAGAAAGAGAGAGAGAGAGAAUAGUAUUUUGAAAUUAUUUUAUAUACACAGAUUGUCUCUGAGAAUGUGUGUGUCAUUAAGUGUCGCGCCAUUAAGGAGUCUUGCUUUUCUAACGUAACUCUUGCGUCUUUGUGGGGGUUAAUUUAAUUAACACUCGAUGGUCGAAGCGUUCCUUUUUGGGCGAAUUGAGUUGCGAAAAGUAUAAAUAACCGAGCCACACGCGUCCGAGGACCAACAGCGACAGUUUUAUCGAACAUGAGAAGCGAGUCGACUCCGCGGAUCAUUGCGAGGAGGAAACCCAUUGUACGAUUGACCAGCGUGCGACGCGUGCAAGGACUAAAUGCGAGUGCACAGCGACGAGUGCCGGUUCUUGAUUUGUAUAGUAGAGAUAAUAAUUACGGUUGUAAGUUAAGAAUUUUUAUUAUGAUGAUACACGAGCUAACGACGUCCGCUGUAUCCCGACAGAGAAGGAGGAAAUGCGAGAGAGAGGGAAAGGGAGAGGAGGGGAAAAAAAAACUAAAAGACGAGAAAAGAACUAAAGAAAGAGACAUGCAUAAUCGAGAGGUUUAGAAGUUGCGUCACGGUGCCAUACGGCUUGGCGACAAGAGGAAACAAAACGAGGGAAAAAAGAAGCAAGGAACGAUCUUAGAAACCGUGUUAUCUAUUAUUAACGCGUCAUCGCCGUCUGUGUUCUUUCCAAAGUACCUCCGCGAGGCAUCGCAUCAUGCCGAUACUCGCCGGAACGAAGAGCCGGUCGCAGUGACAGCAUUGUCGGCUAACUGCGGUUAACUGAAUUCUCCUUCUCUAUGGGCCGGGCCUAUAAAUGUGAUGGUAAAAUGGACUUCAUCACCGAUCACCUGUCUUUUUUUUUUUUCUUUGCAUGGACAGAGUUUAGUGAGAACUUAUCUCUAAUUCUGUGGCAUCUAGAGGGACAGAUGUUUUAAUGAAUGUAGAAAAGUUCCAGUUUCUCUCUUUCCAAAAGAAGAAAGAACCGAUAGAGCCUCAACUUAACUUUAACCAAUGUCGAUGAAAACGGCCUUUAUGUAGAUAAUGUAGCUAAGUCUAGAAAGAAAUAGGAAAUCUGUAGCUAGGAUCAAUUAAUCAAAGUUUGUCAUAUCUACGUGCAUCACGUUGAAUUAAACUGUAGUUAACUAAAUUCUCUCUUUCCAUCUAUAUUAUAGCCCUUUAGCCUAAGUAAAGGACGGAGAAUCGCUAACCGCCAAGUUAGUUGACUAUAGUUAUCGGUAUAAUUGAUCCCAAGAAAUCAGCGAGACGUCCCUUAAAAUGGUGCUCCCCCUGUCCCAUCCAUCCUUUUGGUUUGGCAGAGCGACGAGAGCGAGCGAGAAGCAUCCGUUGCUUCUCACCGUCGAUGGUAAUUGGAAUUGAAAGUGUGAGGAAGAGAAAAAGAGAGUGAGAGAGAGAAAGAGAGAGUGAGAGAAAGAGAAAGAAAGGUGCACACAUCGAAACGGAAAGGAACACCAUCUGACAUACUGCCCUGUGCCUUCUUCGCAGUUUCUGCACUUUUUAAAGGUGAAACUGGAAGAAAACUGACAAUGAGAGCGAGAGCGAGAGAAAGAAAGAGAGAACGUGAGAGUGAUUGAGAGGAAGGAGCAAAGGAAGAACUUGUUACAGCAUAUUUUAUUAUUGUUUAGUUAUUUACAAUCUGUAUAUUAUUAAUUAAUAUUACGAUUAAAAGUAUUUUGUAGAUAAUACGCGGCUCUCUUUAUAGCGCCUCUAUAGCCAUCGACUGCGCGUGAUUGCGUUCGAGCUCGAUCUUUCACGGUCGAUCGCUCUUCCCUCGACCGUCGUUCGAAAGAGAGCGAUCCUGUAUACGUCAUUUUCUAGAUUGUUUGAGGCUCCUUACGAUGGCUCAAAAGCUGCUCCCGUUCUCGAUCGAUCACGGACGAGCGUGUUUUUAUUUGUAGCUCGUUUUGUAGAACUAAUCAGAGAUCUCCUAUAUGACUGCGCGUCGACAAUCGUUCGUCGCAACGCUCUUGUAAUCGAGAGUAAAUCUGAAUUGCUGAAUUAAGUACGAAAUUGAAGAGAGAUACGGUGAACUCCGUUACGUCGUCUUUCCUUGUAGUGAAGCUGUUCCACUUCUUCUAAAUAAUCUCGACGUUUCCGAACAGAAAAACGUAGAAAGAAAGGGCGGACGCGUGCAUUCGAUCUUUCAAUUUACGAAAAAAAAUUAAUUUCUCCCAUAACACACGCAAGGAUUGCGAAUUCGUUGGAGAUUAACGGUGAACGAAUCAGAAUACGAGUAAUCGCUUCACGUAAGAUACCAUUCUCCUUUAGUUGAUAAUUCUUUUUUUUUCAAAUUCAUGUAAAGAUAACUCAAAGAUCUAACGAUGGAUAUUACUUUUCAGAUCACCACGAUUUUGAUGUAUUCGAUAAGUGUAUAGUACUAACAAAGAAAAAACGUAAGAUUGUUGAACAAUUCUUUUCUCCACGUUAGUCGGGAAUCAAGGAUCUGAGAAGUUGUUACGAAUGAUACCUCGCACAGCAGCUCUUAGACCUUGAAAUUUAUUUCAGCUACAAUUGAAGUCUUGCGUGUGAACGAGAUCCUUUCUGUUAGAUGCAACAGGCAUGAUUCGGGGGCAAAGGUAUUGGAAUCCAAAAUUUCACAGAAAAGAUUAAGAUAACAAUUUAGAAGGAAACAUCAGUAAUAUCAGAAAAAACAUCGAAAAGAAAAAUUAUAUAUAAUAGGCAUGAUUCGGGGCCAGAGACAUUGGAAUAAAAAAUUUGACAAUUGAGAGAACAAUUUAGGAGGAAAAUAUGACACAGACAUGCAGAAAAACAACGCGAUGCAAGAAUCGAAUAAUCCAUAUCAACGAGUAAUUUUGAUUGCGAAUUCCGAGUCGAUUUUUCUCCCUUUCUUUUUUUAAGUGGUUUUCUUUUUUUUUUUUAUUUUACAUUAUAACACGAGGAAACUCCGUGAACGGCGCGCUCGGGUAUCGAGUAUGUCUAUUCGAUUACGUUUUCAUAGUUGCUAUAUAUGGACUAAUCGCUUUUUGCAUUUACUAAACCGCUUA